This 11501-nucleotide long non-coding RNA is filed under the name Populus tremula. Its description in RNAcentral is "long non-coding RNA (PTRE_LNC000395)". Lineage: Eukaryota; Viridiplantae; Streptophyta; Magnoliopsida; Malpighiales; Salicaceae. The record is from RNAcentral.
UUUUUUUUUUCUUUCUUCUUUCGAAACCAGCCAAACAGCCUGCACCUCCCAGACUGAUUUUUUUCUGACAGACCCGACCAAAGGUUCUGCUCCCUCACCAGCACAACCCCGGACCCGGCAUCUCCCUCAGCCUAAACAGACCCGCCAUCCCCUGUUCCCUUGAUUUUUUUCUUCCCCCCUCUGCACCGGCCAAACACCGCCAGCCCCCCACCGGAUUUUUUUUUUCUUCUUCCUCUCCCCAUCGGCUCACCACAAGAGAGAGCAGCGCCCCUUUUCUUCUUCUUUUUUUCUCUCCCAGCCGCUCACGACAACACUCCACAGCAGCAUCCCCCACCAGAUUAUUUUUUUAUUCUUCCUUCCCCACCGACGAUCCCACUGCCAGCCUCUUCUCCGACGCCGCCCCCCUCACAAAUCAACCACAGCCGCCUUCCUUCUCCUCCACAGAAACCGAACAUCCCCUCUCUAUUUUCGCUCAUUUUUUCGACAGACCCGACCCAGCCUCCUCUCCUUCAGCCGACCUCCAGCAGCGGCAGCUUCUGCUCACAGCCGACGGACCCACCUCCUCUCCACCGACCAGGGAACAGGCAGGGCUGUUCCCAUCGCCUCAGACCCAAGGUCUCUUUCUCCGGGCAGCAGCAACGGCUCCUUCCCCAUCAACGGUGCCAGUUUCCCCUUUGAUCUCUUCCACAACAACCGGCCGGCAGCAGUUGUCAUCGCCUCCCACAGCGGCUGACACGGCAGGCUACACAGAAGCCGCCGACCAACAGCCACUCUGAAGCAGAUUUGCCACCGGGGAAGGAGAAAGUAGCAACGGGCAAAAGAAAAAAUUUAAAAGCAGAUCUAAAAAACAACUAAAAUCGACUGUUGUGGUUAUUUUGAAUGUGGUUGCAGGUGAUUGGUGUUCCUCACAAGCAGUAGGGAAGAGGAGGGGUGAAGAAGCUGAUCCAGAUCGUCCACCUUGCGUUCUUCUUCCUGCGGCGGCGCGUGAACCACGCGCCGCCAGUGAUGGUGGCGCGUGCAUAGGACGCGCCACCACUGUUCCUGGUGUCCAUGUCUUCGCAGAAACGUUCCCAACAGAUUUUAUGAUGUUUUAGAGUUUUUUAGCACUGUUUCGGGUCAUUGUGUAAUUUCAAAUUUGUUUAGUGUAAUGUAUGUUUAUUUUGAAUUUUUUAUUUGUAUUUUGUAAUGAGAUGUACAAAAAGAAAAAAAAAGAAAAGGAAAAUAGAAGAAAAGAAAAGAAAAAGAAAAAUAAAUAAGAAAAAGAAAUGUUUGUGUGUGCUUGUUUAUUUUGAAUUUUAUUUGUAUUUUGUAAUGAGAUGUACAAAAAGAACAAAAAAAAAAAGAAAAUAGAAGAAAAGAAAAAUAAAUAAGAAAAAGAAAUGUUUGUGUGUGCUUGUAAUUUUUUUUGUAUUGUUAUUAAAUAAAAAAAAAAGGGAAUUUAAUUUAUAUGCACAAAUAUCUUAAGGAUAGAUAAAAAUCAUGUUGAAUUUUCCAUGAAAAUGUAGAACAUGUAUCUACAUAUAGUCUGGAAAAGUAAUAACUGAUUUAUCAAAGCCUUAGAAUUGGGCUAAAAUUUUAUUUUUAAUAUCACAUCAAGUCCACGAAGCUUGAAAGUGAAUGUGGUGUGUAUGUUUUUUUUUAUGAUAAAAUUGCCAGAAUAAAGAAGAAUUUAAUAUUCCGAUUUAAUCACGGAUAAAGAAUCAUGAACUUACAUGUAAGUUGUAUUUUCUAAAAUUCGAUGAAAGAACAGAAUUUUUAAAAAUUCUUUAACACAUCAAGUCCACAAAGCAGCUUACCACAGGUAGGGUGCGUUAGGGGUGCUAAUACCUUCCCUAACCACAACCAGUCCCUUACCCGCGAUCUUUGACAAGACCAGUACAUCAGGUUUCCUAGUAGCCCUCAAUGAAUUACUAGGUGGCGACUCCAAAGAACCAAAUCAGCAAAACAGAACGAAAAAUCGCCAGCCGAUGCCGCGCGCCAGGAUUUUUUUUUUGGGGUGCGACAGAAUGGCGACUCCGCUGGGGAAGGUAUUGUUUUCAACAUUAUUGGACUAAGCUUUGUAUAUUUGAUGUGUUUAUAUUUUUGCAUUUUUGUCUUAUUUCAUUUUUUUACUCAUGCAUUUUGUAGAAUUGUUUCAUGCAUCACAUAUUGUAAUUUUUUAAAGCACACACCAGCUUCAGGUUAAGAGGGGGACUAGCAGCUUACCUUACGACUUUUAGUCAAGGUUUAAGUUUGUGUAAACCCCAACUCUUCGUUGAGUGCUUAGACUGGUAAUAGUUGGACACGUGCCAUCUCAUUGCCUACAAGCCCCCAUAUUGCCUCCAUGAGGGCGAUCACUGGGACAACGAGAGCCCCUUUUUAGAGACCAAAUAGUAAACCGACCUUUUGUCUCACUUAAAAAGAUUAGAACCUGCCUGUAGGAUGUAUGCUCCGUAAAUAUUUGUUUUGCAUCCGAGCAAGCCCUUCUUGAAGCAUCUUGAACUCCAGACUUAUGGGUGACACAAUGACCGUCGCUCAGAAAAUUUUCAUUGUAGAGUUUGUGCAAGAAUCAAGAUUCUUGUUUCAUCAUACAAGAGUUGCGAUCAUAUGUCACCCCUCGAAGGGCGAGUUCGUCAUAUAGAUUACAUAUUCAUACAUUUAUCAUGCAUGUACCGGGUUGAAAGGUAGGUCCCCUGCACAAGCUGUGCUGCACGUGAUUGAAGAAAAAUGAUAGAGGUGAAGAAAGGUGUCAGAUAGAGGUGAAGAAAGGGUGUCAGAUAGAGGAUCAUUAUCAGAUUGAGGUUGAGAGCAUCAAAGGUGAAGUAGCUAGACUCAGAUCUGCUCGAACAAGUGUUGAGCAUCAAAGGGAAAGAGAAUGUCUGCACAGUCUUCUGUGGGAACACUGCUUGUCCACGUCCAAUUGAAGUUGUCUCUCCUUUUCAGUCAUGAACAACAGCAACAAUGCCUUCAGUCAUCAACUAAUGACAACUCUGAUUCAUGUCCAGUUGCACUCUUAAGUGUUAAUGCCUCCACAUCAUCUAAUGGAACCAAACGACUACUAGCCUCCUGUUCAUGGUGCAUUAGUCUGCUUUGAAGUUACCCCAAUAAUGAGCUCAAUUUCAGUUCAGCAGCACAAGAUGUUGGUCUGAAAAACCAUGAUCAGACACUGAACUUCUACGUGGUAGAGCUCUCUUUGUAGAGAUUUAUUUGUGGAUCUGCCAAUGGGAAAUGCAAAAGGGGAUGUAUUAAUUUCAUAUGCUUUGAAACUUUUUUUUCCACCAGUGGCACGAGCAAAACAUUGUACUCUGCAGAGGAGUCAGGCCUGAUCUGAAAAUAUGAGUAGUACUCGAACUUCAACGUGGCAGAGCUUUCUCUACAAAAAUCUGUUUAUGAUGCUGCAAGUUGAGAGUGCAAGAGAGGAUUUACUAAUUGCAUAUGCUACAAAUAUUUCUCUCAUCAGUUUCAGCACGAAGAAACUGUAGCAUGUUGAAGAGCUAGAUUUGGUUUGAAAAACAUGGAGCAGACAUCAAACUUCAACGUUGCAGAGGUCUCUCAGCAGAAUCUAUUUGUGGAUCCGAAAGUGGGAAAUCCAAGAAGGAAUGCAGUAGUUUCAGAUCAUCUAUGAUUUUCCUCCAACAAUGUCAGUGUUAAAACGCAAAAGUAGAGAGAAGAGACAUGCCUAGACUGAAAAACAUGAAGAAGACUGAAACUUUCACAGAGCAGAACUCCCUCUAUAAGGGGUUGUUUGCUGCACCGUCAGUGAGGAAUCAAAGAGGAAAUAGAGGAGUUUUGGAGUUCAUCAGGUUUCUCUUCCAAUGACAAUAUAUGAUUCCACAUUUUGUUUUUUGCACUGCAUGGAUUACCUAGAUAUUGACGGGUUUCCAACAAUCCUAAAACCACAACAACAUUGGAAGAUUGAAAUGAUGUUGUGAGGAUUUGCCGAAGAAUUGAACAAGCUAUGAAGAGAGGAAAGAUUGAAGGAUCUGCCAUGGAUUCCAGAAAAUGAUGAGAGGUGAAUCAAGGAGAUGACUUUGACGGUGUGAACCCUUAAUUAUGUGGUAUAGCCAGGUCUCACGGUAGCAUCAAUUGCUCAAAUGUCUUUGCCAAGAUGGGACAUUCCUCUGCCGCUUAAGUUUGUCGACCAGCAUCUGCCAGAUUCCAGAAUUUUGCUUGACUCCGACAAAUCCCAUGCAACCACCAUUUUCUAGGUGGUUAAUCCAGAGAGAUGUGAUGUCAUGUGGGGUCCUCAACCAUUUCAAGUGAACAAUUCAAGAAUUGCAAGAAGCGAGUCUGAAAGUUGGUGAGCAAGAGACAGUGGAGUCUUGAAGAAGGGUGUCAUUGGCUAUAUUUCCCCGAACAUCUUCAAAUGACAUGUGAUCGAAAGUGCUUGGCAAAACACAGAUAUUGCCAGAAAAGCUGAUUCAAGAAUGGUGAUGAACAGUCAAUCAUAUUGUUAUGGAAUUCUGCAUUUUGUUUUGGGAUCACAUCUCAUCCUUCAACGAAACAUGCCUUGCUUUUGUCUCUUUGUUGUUUUGAAAUCAACAGAUGUUUAGCAUUUUAUUCUGACAAAAUAUUUUGAUCAAACUCCAACAUGCGAUAAAGGUUAAUCAAUCCGGAAGAUUAAAAGUGUUUUGAUUACAGAAAUGACUAUGCUUGAAAAUGACAUGAGGUGACUAAACAAUUUUGAACUCAUACCUCCUGAAACUGAACCACACAUCAUAUAGCUAAGUUUUACAGUAUGCAUAAUGACAUGUAGUGGAUUCGGUAGUUAUGGACUCGUGAAUCAUGAUUCUUACAAGUCCCAAUCAUUACACUGGAUGAGGUCAAAAUUUAUCGGUUCUAACCGACCUUGCUUGAAAUGAGAAAAGGCCAUCUUUGAUAUCCCUUCACUUUCUAAAGAUUAUAUCCCUUGCAGUCCCAUUUUGAGCCUGGUAAAUAUUUUUUUAAAAAAGAAACCCUGACUAGGAUCACACCCCACACUGGGGCAAAUGAGAGAUAUUUUGGAGACAUUGAUAUAAUUAAUGGAUAAAGGGGAAGGCUUAGAACAAAGGUCCAAUGAUUGAGAGAGAGCUAAAAGAAAACACAUAGACUGGGGGCAUAUAAGAAAUUUUGAGGAAGGCUAUGAAAAAAAGAGAAUGAAAAAAAAGGAAGUUGAAAUUGCCUUCACUUAAAUACAAGUCAAAGAUAAAGGAAGGAGAACGCCUAUCAAGUCUAUGAAGAGCAAAAGAAAUUUCAAUCAAGGAAAGGCACAACAAAAGUCAAUACCAGAAAAAGACUAAGCUAAACGUGACUUUUGUGUCCAUUAUAAAGCCUUGAUGUUAUCAGAUGAUUAAGGUUGGUUAUUCAUCAAGAAAGUGGAUUUGCAUUAUGACUUAUGUUAAGAAAAGUCUGAACUUUGAGGUUAACAAGGUUAUAUGUCGUUUCCUCUACAAAGACAACAAUAGAAAACAAGUUGAUGAAUAUUGAUGUUGAUCCUAGGUCUUUGAAACCCUCAAACACCUUUUGAGCCUUUGAAAUUCCUUUCUUUCAUAGCCAUGAACCAUAGCCUGCAUUACGUGCUUUUAAAAGCCCUUUUUAAUCAAGCAAGCAAUUUGAACCGAUAAAUGGCGCUCUCAAAACUUGAAGAGUUUUUCCAUAAGGGUCGUGACUUCAUGAAUUAAGCUAUUGGUUAUUAUGCAUGCUGAUAAAAAAGUUAUAAGAAGAGAAACAACCUUUCUUGAUAAAGCCUGAGUUUGACUUGAGCUUGUUUUUUGAAAUUCAUCAAAGGUCACCUCAUCAUAGACUAUCAAAUGAUAUACCCAAUAUCAAGGAUUCAAAUUGAUACAAAGAACCAUGGAAAAAGCCAUUUUUAAUCCUACAUUGGGUCAAUUUCUGUUUUCAAAAUGCAUGACAAUCAAAGGACUAUAUAUUUCGAAUAAUGUGUUGGGUCUUUGAUCAAAAAGCUUGAUUUUCAAAAGAUUUUCAAAAAGGACAUCUCUGAUUUCAUUUCAACAAACUAGACUUUGAAUAGACAUGAUCUUUGAAAUAUGAGAGUUGAUUCCAGAACAAGGAAGAUUAUCAAACACAGAAGAACAUUGAUUGAGUGUGCAAAAUCGUUGAUAGAAAUGACAUUGAAGUCCUCGACACUCCUUGAAAAGUUGAGCAGCUGGGGGCAAUACAGUAGACCUUGAAAAGGAAAAACAAGCAGUGCUCAGAUCAGCUAUGAGGCAAUGUUUAAAUGAUGAAUCAGUGAACUGAAGACAAUGAUGUUCAAAGACAGAUAAUCAAUGAACGAGCACAUUCAGAUCAUACUGGGGGCAAUGUCAUUCCAAAAUGGCCCAUGCUCAGUGAACCCUGUCGGCAAUGGAGAAACAAGAUGUACUUGAAGGACACUUUCUAUCAUCAUCUUUUGAAACAUGGCUAGCAAUCGAUGAGAUACAUGAAUGUAAUUGAAUGGUGAAAAGAUGCAUACCACCAAGACUGACUGUGGAACAAUGCUGCACUUAAAGGACAAUCUCAUAUUGUCAUUCUUUGAAACAUGGUUAUGACAGAUGUUAUCACACAACUGCACUGAAUGAAUGUCGGAAAGGCACCCACCUCGAAGACUGACUGUGGGACAAUUUGUUUUGAAGCCAGAUGAGCGCUUCACCACAUGAGUAUGGUGAUAAAAGCAGCAUCAUUGAUGAGGCUGAGACAUUUCUUUUCACAAUCUGAUUAGAAGAGUUGAAAGGAAUCUAUGAGAAGAGCACUGAGCAUACAACCAUGAGCCUUUGUACUGCAAGCUAUGAGAUGCAUGACUGGAUGACUGAAUGAGUUCCAAGAAGGCUGAUGAUAACAUGUACUUGAAGAGUACUGUUUCAACUGGAGGCAAGAUCAUGACUGAUUGACAAUUUUAAUGGGCGUUGGCACGCACAACCAAAUCAAAGGACAAUUCUUGAGAGAAUAUGGGAGAUGAAUGAUUUGUUCCAUUCCUUCAGGAUGAAUCGAGCAACACCACACUUGCAAGCAGGGUCAAAUUUGAUGAACGAUGCGAGCAGUAAUUGUCGAAGACACCCGGGAUGGGCACUGCAUUUACAGCUGAGUGGAUGGCUAGCACAUGAAUGAGCCAAUACAUCGAAAGAACAAGAAAGCUUUGGAAUGCAAACAAGGCACCCUAUGAGAUGGAGCAUCAAAGAGGGGGGGACCUAUAUUUCAAAUCAGGUAAGGAUGCAUGCAUGUCAUCUAACCUAAAAAAAAAAAAAACAUUUGCACAUAUUUUUGAAUUGUUACAGGAAAAUCCUUAAUGAGGUCCAACAAGAUGGUGGAAAAAGAAAGAAGCAUUGUGGUGAUGAUAAUAAAAAAUCAGUUUUGAUCAUGGAAUAAAAGGGAAGAUGGGAUGAACCCUACCAUUAGGGAAAUCCCAAAGAAAUGAAAAGAUCAACCUUGCAAUCGGGAAGCCUCGAGUUUUCAACUCUUGCAGUCAGGAAACACCGAGUUGUCAAAUCCUAUGAUAGGGAAUUAUCAGGAAGCACCAAGUUUUCCAGCCCUUUUUUCUGUCAUCCCCUCAAAGACUUCGCCAGGUAAGUUCUAUUUUUCACACUUGUCAUAUCACAUCUUCCAUUCGGGUUGGUCACCCAUGACAAUGAGACCGUACUUUUCACAUUUUUUCCAUCCGGGUAGGUCACCCAUGAUAAUGAGAGCGCACUUCAUCAUAUUUUUUUUUUCUCCAUCUGGGUAAGUCACCCAUUACAAUGAGACCACACUUUAUAUUUUUUUCCAUUUUUGGGUAGGUCACCCAUUACAAUGAGACCGCACUUCACAUUCUUUCCAUUUAGGUAGGUCACCCAUAACAACGAGACCACUUUUUCAUAUUCUUUCUAUCUGGAUAGGUCACCCAUUACAAUGAGACCGCACUUCACAUUCUUUCCAACUGGGUAGGUCACCCAUUAAGACCGUUUUUUUUCACAUUCUUUUGUUUUGGUUAAAUGAGGUCGCCAGAUGGGAUCUCAUGUAGCUUUGGUUAAAGGGAAUCGCCAGAUGGGAUUUCAGGUUGACCGAGCUACACACAGGAUUUUGGUUCUGGUUAGAGGGGAUUGCCGAAAGGAAUCUCAGUCUAUCCUAACCACACACAGGAUUUUGGUUCUGGUUAGAAGGGAUUGCCGAAAGGACUCUCAGUCUAUCCUAACCACACACAGGAUUUUGGUUCUGGUUGAAGGGGAUCGGCGAAGUGAUCUUAGUUCAGCCCAACAACACAGAGAUUUGGUUCUGGUUGAAGGGGAUCGGCGAAGUGAUCUUAGUUCAGCCCAACCACAAAGGAUUUUGGUUCUGGUUAGAGGGGAUUGCCGAAAGGAAUCUCAGUCUAGCCCAACCCUACACAUUCCUUGGUUAUGGUUAAAGGGGAUCGACGAAGGGAUCUCAGUUUAACCUAAUUGGAAAGGAUUUUGGUUCUGGUUAGAGAGGAUUGCCGAAAGGAAUCUUAGUCUAGCCCAACCCUACACAUUCCUUGGUUAUGGUUAAAGGGGAUCGACGAAGGGAUCUCAAUUUAACCUAAUUGGAAAGGAUUUUGGUUCUGGUUAGAGGGGAUUGCCGAAAGGAAUCUCAGUCUAGCCCAACCCCACACAUUCCUUGGUUAUGGUUAAAGGGGAUCGACGAAGGGAUCUCAGUUUAACCUAAUUGGAAAGGAUUUUGGUUCUGGUUAGAGGGGAUUGCCGAAAGGAAUCUCAGUCUAGCCCAACCCUACACAUUCCUUGGUUAUGGUUAAAGGGGAUCGACGAAGGGAUCUCAGUUUAACCUAAUUGGAAAGGAUUUUGGUUCUGGUUAGAGGGGAUUGCCGAAAGGAAUCUCAGUCUAUCCCAACCCUACACAUUCCUUGGUUAUGGUUAAAGGGGAUCGACGAAGGGAUCUCAGUUUAACCUAAUUGGAAAGGAUUUUGGUUCUGGUUGAAGGGGAUCGGCGAAGGGAUCUCAGUUCAGUCUAACUACACAAUUCCUUGGUUAUGGUUAAAGGGGAUCGGCAAAGGGAUCUCAGUUUAACCUAAUUGGAAAGGAUUUUGGUUCUGGUUGAAGGGGAUCGGCGAAGGGAUCUCAGUUCAGUCUAACCACACAGACCUUGGUUAUGGUAAAAGGGGAUCGCGAAGGGAUCUCAAUUUAGCCUAAUCACACAGAAUCACUAGAUGAGAUUUCAGGUUGAUCGAGCUACACACCGAUUUUUAUUCUUGUUAGAUCGUCAGAUGGGAUCUCAGGUAAACCCAAUCAAAAGGGAAGGUCGCCCGUGAAAAUAGACCAGUGUGAGUGUGUGGGCAGGUCGCCCCUGAAAAUAGACCAGUGUGAGAGUGUGGGUUGGUCGCCCCUAAAAAUAGACCAGAGUGAGUAUGUGUGGGCAGGUCGCCCCUGAAAGUAGACCAGUGUGAUUUUGUGGGCUAGUCGCCCCUGAAAAUAGACCACUUUUCUUCAAAAAAGGCAUGUCGCCCAAGAUAAUAAGAUCAUUUUCUUUUUCUAUUCUUUACAAAGCUUACUAUGCAAAACAUUGAGGAGUUUUGCUUCGUAAGCAUUGUAAAGAGGGGGCAUCUGUUGUUACCCAAUUUUUGACCCACCUUUUUAAUAAAUUUUUCGAAAAAUCUAAAAAUAGUGAAAAACAACAAAAAUCCAAAAAUAUAUUUUUAAUAUAUUUGCAUCGUUUUUAGCAUUUUCAACAUAGUCUAAAAAAGAAUUUAAAUUUUCAAAGGUUUUUGGAACGCGUUCGACUUUUCACGCGUCAUUUUUAAAAUCAUUGAUUUUCCUCAUCGAGUCGACGUUGAUAUUGCUCGUUUUCCAAAAAAACAAGAAAAAUAAAAAAAAAAAUUUAAAAAAAAAGAAAGUUAAGGGACCAAUUUUGAGGAAAAAAAAAUUAAUUAAAAAAAAAUAUUUUUUGCCCUCUUUUUCGGCUGAAAAUCAGGGACUCAACCCCACUUAGUGGGUCUUGAUUUCCUUGUUUCCAGCCGACAAUGGAGGCCCCUCCUCAUGAGGAGAACCCCUAUUUCUUCUCAUCAGAUUCUUGACACCAGGGGAGGGGGGAUUUGAAUUUUUUUAGGGGUCCCGAGAGCAGGGGGCAGAGACCCACGGAGUCCCUCACCUGCAAAAAGCCAACACUCCCUCAUCAGAGCUGUCACUCCAAGCCACAGCCGCCCCCCACCCUUGACAUUUUUUUUUUCUUUCUUCUUUCGAAACCAGCCAAACAGCCUGCACCUCCCAGACUUGAUUUUUUUCUGACAGACCCGACCAAAGGUUCUGCUCCCUCACCAGCACAACCCCGGACCCGGCAUCUCCCUCAGCCUAAACAGACCCGCCAUCCCCUGUUUCCCUUGAUUUUUUUCUUCCCCACUCUGCACCGGCCAAACACCGCCAGCCCCCCACCGGAUUUUUUUUUUCUUCUUCCUCUCCCCAUCGGCUCACCACAAGAGAGAGCAGCGCCCCUUUUCUUCUUUUUUUCUCUCCCAGCCGCUCACGACAACACUCCACAGCAGCACCCCCCACCGGAUUUUUUUUUUAUUCUUCCUUCCCCUCCGACGAUCCCACUGCCAGCCUCUUCUCCAGCGCCGCCCCCCUCACAAAUCAACCACAGCCGCCUUCCUUCUCCUCCACAGAAACCGAACAGCCCCUCUCUAUUUUCGCUCAUUUUUUCGAAAGACCUGACCCAGCCUCCUCUCCUUCAGCCGACCUCCAGCAGCGGCAGCUUCUGCUCACAGCCGACAGACCCACCUCCUCUCCACCGACCAGGGAACGGGCAGGGCUGUUCCCAUCGCCUCAGACCCAAGGUCUCUUUCUCUGGGCAGCAGCAACGGCUCCUUCCCCAUCAACGGUGCUAGUUUCCCCUUUGAUCUCUUCCACAACAACCGGCCGGCAGCAGUUGUCAUCGCCUCCCACAGCGGCUGACACGGCAGGCUACACAGAAGCCGCCGACCAACAGCCACUCUGAAGCAGAUCUGCCACCGGGGAAGGAGAAAGUAGCAACGGGCAGAAGAAAAAAUUUAAAAGCAGAUCUAAAAAACAACUAAAAUCGACUGUUGUGGUUAUUUUGAUUGUGGUUGCAAGUGAUUGGUGUUCCUCACAAGCAGUAGGGAAGAGGAGGGGUGAAGAAGCUGAUCCAGAUCGUCCACCUUGCGUUCUUCUUCCUGCGGCGGCGCGUGGCGCCAGUGACGGUGGUGCGUGCACAGGACGCGCCGCCACUGUUCCUGGUGUCCAUGUCUUCGCAGAAACGUUCCCAGCAGAUUCUAUGAUGUUUUAGAGUUUUUUAGCACUGUUUCGGGUCAUUGUGUAAUUUCAAAUUUGUUUAGUGUAAUGUAUGUUUAUUUUGAAUUUUUUAUUUGUAUUUUGUAAUGAGAUGUACAAAAAGAAAAAAAAAGAAAAGGAAAAUAGAAGAAAAGAAAAGAAAAAGAAAAAUAAAUAAGAAAAAGAAAUGUUUGUGUGUGCUUGUUUAUUUUGAAUUUUUAUUUGUAUUUUGUAAUGAGAUGUACAAAAAGAACAAAAAAAAAAAGAAAAAAUAGAAGAAAAGAAAAAUAAAUAAGAAAAAGAAAUGUUUGUGUGUGC